GGGGGCGUCACGGCUUCGACGGGAUUGCUUGGGGCAAAGAGGCAUGCCGGGGUGUGGACACCCGUAAUCGCUCACAAAACUAUAAGUGCCGAACCUCAAUUCGCACUCGCAGCUUAAUUAAUUAAGUUGCCGGAGUCCCCAGCUUCGCCUACGGGCCGGGAGCCUCCGUCGCACAGUAGGCUGGCCCAAGGAGUUCCGUCUGGACGCCAAGGGCGAGAUCAAUCAGGCUGGUGGCCGGGGCAUCUUUGCCCGUUCUAAGUACCGGCUACGAGACAAAAACGAACGCGGAAAAGCAUGAAUGCUCUUUGUCGUUGGUAGUUUCGGACGCGGGUUCGACUCCCGCCGCCUCCACCA
Molecule: transfer-messenger RNA, 354 nt
Filed under: Bryocella elongata
Lineage: Bacteria; Pseudomonadati; Acidobacteriota; Terriglobia; Terriglobales; Acidobacteriaceae
Description: Standard tmRNA
Rfam family: transfer-messenger RNA
About the family: Bacterial tmRNA, also known as 10Sa RNA or SsrA, is named for its dual tRNA and mRNA-like properties.
Source: Rfam by way of RNAcentral